GACGAACGCUGGCGGCGUGCUUAACACAUGCAAGUCGAGCGAGAAGACGUAGCAAUACGUUUGUAAAGCGGCGAACGGGUGAGGAAUACAUGGGUAACCUACCCUCGAGUGGGGAAUAACUAGCCGAAAGGUUAGCUAAUACCGCGUACGCUCCUUGGACUUCGGUUCAGGGAGGAAAGCGAUACCGUGGGUAUCGCGCUCUUGGUUGGGCUCAUGUCCUAUCAGCUUGUUGGGAGGUAACGGCUCACCAAGGCUUCGACGGGUAGCUGGUCUGAGAGGACGAUCAGCCACACUGGCACUGCGACACGGGCCAGACUCCUACGGGAGCAGCAGUAAGGAAUAUUGCGCAAUGGGCGAAAGCCUGACGCAGCGACGCCGCGUGGGGGAGUGAAGGUCUUCGGAUUGUAAACCCCUUUCGGGAGGGAAGAUGGAACGAGCAAUCGUUCGGACGGUACCUCCAGAAGCAGCCACGGCUAACUUCGUGCCAGCAGCCG
This 494-nucleotide ribosomal RNA is filed under the name uncultured bacterium. RNAcentral's name for it is "bacterial SSU rRNA". It matches the Rfam family "Bacterial small subunit ribosomal RNA", at positions 28 to 517 of the family's 1533-position model. The record is from RNAcentral.